AGCAAAUCCGACUUAGCAAGGAGUGUAUUUAUUAGAUAUUUAAACAAGUUUAGGGUAGUGUCCUCACAGACGGGUAACGGGGAAUUAGGGUUCGACUCCGGAGAGGGGGCUACCACAUCCAAGGAAGGCAGCAGGCGCGCAAAUUACCCAAUCCCGACACGGGGAAGUAGUGACAAGAAAUACUGAUACAGGGUCCUAUCGGAUCUUGUGAUUGGAAUGAGUACAAUUUAAACCCAUUAAAGCAUACAUUAAAAUUGUUGCAGUUAAAACGCCCGUAGUUGAAGUUUGGAUUUAAUCGCCCGGUCCGCCUCACUGCGAGAACUGGUUGCGAUCGAGUCUUUCUUCUUGGUAAACUGCAUGCCCUUUAUUGGGUGUGUUGGUGCACCAGGACUUUUACUUUGAAAAAAUUAGAGUGUUCAAAGCAGGCUUUUGCUCGCCUUAGCAUGGAAUAAUUGGUUUUCACGACUACCGUAAUGAUUGAUGAAAGCAUUUGCCAUGGAUGUUUUCAGAAAGGGGAU
This 518-nucleotide ribosomal RNA is filed under the name Appendiculina scaptomyzae. RNAcentral describes it as "bacterial SSU rRNA". It matches the Rfam family "Eukaryotic small subunit ribosomal RNA", at positions 249 to 878 of the family's 1831-position model. Lineage: Eukaryota; Fungi; Ascomycota; Laboulbeniomycetes; Laboulbeniales; Laboulbeniaceae. The record is from RNAcentral.